This is a long non-coding RNA of Symphalangus syndactylus (siamang), 7012 nucleotides long. RefSeq lists it as uncharacterized. The record is from RefSeq and is a predicted model, not a curated record. NCBI's taxonomy places the organism in Eukaryota, Metazoa, Chordata, Mammalia, Primates, Hylobatidae.
CUAACAUAGCAUAACUCUCCACUCAUUUAGGUCUUCUUUAAUUUCUAUCAUCAAUGUUUUAUAAUUUUCAGUGCAUUAGUCUUUCAUGUCUUUUGUCAGAUGUAUUCCUCCCUACCUCAUAUUAUAACUGGUAGUUUUUAAGUUUCUAUUCUGAUUGAUCUUGUGCCUUGCAAAUUUGUUAAACUCAUUUAUUAACUCUGGUAGCUUUUUUGUAGAUACCUUUGGAUUUUCUAUAUAGAUAAUCAUGUCAUCUGUGAAUAAAGACAGUUUUACUUCUUCCUUUCUAAUCCGAACAUCUUUUUUCCUCUUUCUUGCUUUAUUGCACUAACUAUAACUUCCAGAAGAAUGUAUGCUGACAGUAGACAUUUUUGCCUUCUCCUGAUCUUAGGGAGAAAGCAUUCAAUCUUUCAUUUAGCCUGUAGGUUUUUCUCAUAAAUGCUCUUUAUCAAGUAGAGGAACUUCACUUCUAUUCUUAGUUUUUUUAGAGGUUUUAUCAGUUUUAUCAAGAAUAAAGGUUGGUUUUCUGAAAUCCUUUUUGUGUUUAUUGAGAUGAUAGCAUAGGUUUUUAUAGAUUGUUAAUAUGGGAAAUUACAUUGAUAAUUUUUGAAAGUUAAACCUACCAUGCAUUCCUGGGAUAAACCCACUUGGCUGUGAUGUAUUAUCCUUUGUGUAUUGUUAGAUAGAAUUUGCUAAUAAUUUUUUAAUUCAUGUACAUGAGGACUAUUGAUAUUGGUCUGUAGUUUUCUUUUUUCAUAAUGUCUGUCUGGUUUUGAGAUCAAGGUAACUCUGCCCCACAAAAUGAUUUGGAAAGUGUUCUCUUCUCAAAUUUUUGGAAGAGUUUAUGUAGAAUUAGUAUUAUUUCCUCCUUAAAUGUUUACUGAAAGUCAUCAGUCAAGUCAUCUGGGCCUGGAGCUUUCUUUGUGGAAAGGUUUUAAAUUGUAAAUUCAAUUUACUCAAUAGUUAUAGGACUACUCAGGAUAUCUAUUUCUUCUUCAGUAAGCUUUGGUAGUUUGUGUCUUUCCAGGAAUUUACCCAUUCCUUCUAAGUUGUUGAAUUUAUUAGCAAAAAGUUGUUCAUUAUCUUCCCUUAUUAUUACUUUAAUGACUGCUGAAUAUAUACUGAUGUCACCUUCUCAUUCUUGAUACUGGCAAUUUUGUCUUCUCUCUUAUUGUCCUGGUCAGUCUGACAAGAGGUUUAUCAAUUUCAUUAAUAAAAAUCUUAGAUAAUUUUUUAAUCAAUAAAUAACCAACUUUGGGAUUAAUUUAUUUUCUCCAUUGUUUUUAUUUUAUAUUUAGCCAAUUUCUCUUCUGGUCCUUACUAUUUCCUCUCUUCUGCUUACUUUGGGUUUAAUUUAUUCUUCUUUUUCUAGUUUCUUAAGGUGGAACUCAAGGCCAUUGAUUAGGAACUUUCUUCUAUUCCAAUAUACAUGUUUAGUGCUGUACAUUUCCCUCUAAGUAUUGUUUUAGCGACAUCUCAUAGAUUUUGAUACAUUGUGUUUUCAUCUUCUUUCACGUAAAAAUACUUUCCAAUUUCCCUUUUGAUUUCUCCUUGGACACAUGGGUUAUAUAAAAGUGUGUUUCAUUGUUUCCAAAUAUUUUCCAGAGCUCUUUCUGUUAUUGAUUUCUAAUUUAAUUCUAUUAUGACAGAACAUACUUUUUGUGACUUAAGUCCCUUUACAUUUAUUGAGACUUGUUUCAUGGCCAGAAUAUGGCCUAUUUUGAUGAAUGUUCUGUGGUGUGUACUUGAACGUCUAUUCUGCUGUUUUUGGGUAGCAUUUUCUACAAAUAUAAGCCAGGUCCAGUUGGUUGAUAGUGUUGUUCAUAUCUUCUAUUUUCUUACACAUUUUUUGUUUACAUGUUUCAUCAGUUAGUAAAAGAAGGUUUUUGAAAUCUCCAACUAUAAUUGUAGAUUCAUCUAUUGCUUCUUGCAGUUCUAUCAUUUUUGCUUCAUGUCUCUGAUUAGGUGCAUAAACAUUAAGAUUGUCAUACCCUUUUAAUUAACUGUUCCCUUUAUCAUUAUGAAAUUACUUUAUUUAACCUGGUAAUAUUCUUUACUGUGAGAUCUACUUUGAGAUUAAUAUAGGCACUGCAGCUUUCCUUUGAUUAGUGUUAGUUAACACAGUAUAUCUUUUUCAUUGUUUUACUUUUAACUCUUGUCUUUAUAUUUAAAGUGGGUUGCAUGUAGGCAGCAUAUAUUUGGGUCUUGCCUUUUCAUCCAAUCUGAUGUCUUUUUAUUGGGAUAUUUAGACCAUGGCUGCUCAAUAUGAUUAUUGGUAUGAUUAGGUUUAUAUCUCUCAUCUUGAUACUCAUUUUCCAUUUAUUCCAUUUUCCUUUAUUCCCUUCUUUCUCCUUUUCUGUCUUCUUUGGGAUUAAUUAAGCAUUGUUCAAUGAUUCCAUUCUAUCUACUUUCUGGCUUCUUAGCUAUAACUCUUAUUGUUUUAGUAGUUAUUUUAAGGUUUACAGUACACAUCUUUAACUUAUCACAGUCUACCUUCAAGUGAUAUUAUAGCAUGUCAAAUAUGUUUAGGAUACUUAUACUUACUUAUAAUAGUAUACUUCUAUUCUCCUCUCUCAGCCUUUUUGCUAUUAUACAGUUUACUUUUACAUAUGUUAUAAACCUCACGGUACAUGGUUAUUAUUUUGUGUCAAGAGCCAAUUAUACUUUAAAGGGAUUAAAAUAAUAAGAGAAAAUAUCAUAUCCGACCUAUGUAGUUACUAUUAUGCUCUUUGAUCCUUUGCAUAGAUCCAUACUUCCAUCUAGUAUCACCUUCAUUCUGUUUGAAGCACAUCCUUUAACAUUUCUUGUACUACAGGCCUGCUAGUGAUGAAUUCUUUAAGCUGUUAUGUCUGAGAAGUCUAUUUUGCUUUUAUUCUUGAAAGAUUAUUUUCUGGGUAUGAACUCUAGGCUGACUACUUUUUUUAAUUUCAUGCUUUGAGGAUAUUGUUCCACUGCCUUCUCACUUGCAUUAUUUUCUAGAGAAAUCUGCUGUAAUCUAUAUCUUUGCUGCUCUGCAUAUAACAGCUUUUCCCCACCCCACGCCUUUCUCUGGCGACUUUUAAGAUUUUCUCUUUAUUAUUUUGGGCAAUUUAAUUAUAAUGUGCCUUAGUGUGGGUUUUUUCCCAUUUUUAUUGUGCUUGCGGGGCAAUGAAAUUCUUGUGUCUGUGGGUGUACCAUGUUCAUCGAAUUUGGAAAUUUGCCAGCCAUUAUUUCUUCAGAUAUUUUUCUGUCCCUUCCUCUCCUCUCUUUCAGAAACCCCAGUUAUACAUAUAUGAGGCCUCUUAAAGUUGUCUCACAACUCAAUGAGAAAGUCUCUGUUUCUUUUUAAAAUUUUUGCUCUUUUUUUAUCUUUUUACUCUCUAUAUUUCUUUUUGGAUAGUUUCUAUUGCUGUCUUCAAGUUAGCUAAUCUUUUGUUCUGCAAUGUCCUCUCUGCUGUUAAUCCUAUCCAGUGUGUUUUUCAUAUUAUACAUUGUAAUUUUCAUCUGUAGUAGUUUGAUUUAUGUCUUUUCUAUAUCCUUCAUGUUGAUGGUAUGUCCAAUCUUUCCUCUAGCUUUUAGAACAUACAGAACAUGAUUAUAAUAAGUGUUUUGAUGACCUUGUCAGCUAAUUUUAACAUCUGUGUCAAUUCUGGAUCAGUCUUAACUGACUGACUUUUCCUUCAUUAUGAUUUGCAUUUUCCUGCUUCACUGCGUGGCUAGUAAUUUUUUACUGGAUGCCAGACUUUGUGAUUUUUGCCAUUUGGGGUGCUGGAUUUGUUUGUAUUCCUAUAAAUAUUCCUGAGCCUUGUUCUGAGAUGUAGUCAACACAUUUAUAAACAGUUUGAUCCUGGCCAGGCAUGGCGACUCAUGCCUCUAAUUCUACCACUUUGGGAAGCUAAGGUGGGAGGAUCACUUGAGCCCAGGAGUUCAAGACCAACCUAGGCACCAUAGUGAGAACCUGUCUACAAAAAAUGGAAAAAUUAGCCAGGCCUGGUGGCAUGUGCAUGUAGUCCCAGCUACUCAGGAGGCUGAAGCAGGAAGAUGGCUUGAACUUGGGAGAUCAAGGCUGUCGUGAGCCAUGAUUACACCACUGCACUCCAGCCUGAGUGACAGAGCAAAACCCUGUCUAAAAAAACAAAAAUGAAACAGUUUCACCCUUUCAAAAGUCUUGCUUUGAUGAUUUGCUAAGCAUGCUUGCAGAAAUUAUCAGUCUAGGACUAAUAAUUUCCUCCUACUGAGGCAAGACUUUCCUGAGUUGUCUACCCAAUUUCCUGUGAAUUACAAGAUUUUCCAGUCUGGCUGGUAAGAGCAGGCACUACUCCUGGCUGUGUGCGUGCUCUAAGUACUGGUAUCACAGGUCCUUUUGGGGGUUCUUUCCCUGACUGUGUAAUUUCCUUGCAUGCAUGUGCUGAUCAUUACUCAACUGAGCACUCAAGUUGGACUUCUGCAUGACUCCAGAGCUCUCUUUCUUUGCAGCUCUCUCCACUCCAUUAGUCUGCCCUGUGAAAUCCAGCCACUUUGAUCUCCCCAGACUCAGCUCAUUCUUUCAACUCGGGGGUUCCAGCAGACUCUGGUGGGCAACCUGUCCCUGCAACGUGGCCAGGAAUCUCUCAAGGCAGUAAGCUGGAGCAGUCCUUGGCCUCACCUUGUUUAUUUCCCAUCAUUCAAUAAUCACUUUCAUGUCUGAUGUCCAAUUGCUUGGAAAUCACUGUUUCAUUUGUUUUGUGCCAUUUUCUUACUUGUUUAAGGUGGGAAGCUAAGUCUGGUCCCUGUUAUUCCAUCUUGGCCAGAAGCCUAGCAGCUCCAUUUCAAGCCCUGAACCCUCCCUCCACAUCGGGCUUCAGAUUCUGCCAGUCCACUACUCAAACAAAUGAGCCGAGUCUUGUGGGGAUGGGGAUUCACAGAGAAGCACCUCUUUGCCAUGCCAGAUGGGAAAACUGAGGCUUAAAAAGGUUACACAACCUCAGCCAAGUCGCACAUGAGCGGUGGAUAAGACCUGACCCCAGGAGGCCUGGCUGCAGAGCUGGGCCCCAGACCUCUCCUGAACGCGGGGCACCACCUCACGUAAACUCUCUGCCACAGCCCCAAUGCUCCAGGGCCCUGCUCCGUGUCACUCACAGAUCUGUUGUACCCCAUUUCCCCCACUGUAAUGUCAUCUCUGUGGGCAGGGAUUUUUGCCUGUUUUGCUCACUGUGUUGUGUACCCUAGUGCCUGGUGUGUGGCAGGAAUUUGUAUUUGUUGGAUGAAUUUGUGGAUGAAUAGAUGAUCAAGGAGGCCAGUAAGUGGCUCAGGUAGCCAGCCCCUCAUCCUGCCCCCUCCCCAAUAUCUCUGUGCCUCCUGCAUGAUGGUGGCACAGGCUGGCCAACGAGCUUCUGCAUGGAAGAUGGGGCAGGCUACUGGGGUGUGUCAUGGUGGGCCAAGCCAGGGGGCCAUGUAGGGUGGUGGAACCAGUCCAGGUAUUCCCUUGGGGAACCAGAGGGUUGAGUCCAAUGGGGCUAUCAGAACCCAUAAGGCCUUGAGAGCCAAGGAAGUGAUGAUUGGUUCAAACAGGAGGGUGGCAAGGCCAGGCCGUCAUGGGGCAGGUCUCUGGAGGGGGCCAGGCUGGAACUGGGCCAGUGAUAUAAUUUGGCUCUAUGUCCCCACCCAAGUCUCAUGUCAAAUUGCAAUCCUCAAUGUUGGAGGAGGGGUCUGGUGGGAGGUGAUUGGAUCAUGCAGGCAGACUUCUCUCUUGCUGUUCUGGUGACGGUGAGUGAGUUCUCAUGAGAUCUGGUUGUUUAGAGGCAUGUGGCACUUCUCCCUUCUCUCUCUCUCUCUCGCUGGCCACAGGAAGAUGUGCCUGCUUCCCCUUCACCUGCUGCCAUGAUUAUAAGCUUCCUGAGGAAAGCUUACUAGCCAUAUUUCCUGUACAGCCUGCAGAAUUGUGAGUCAAUUAAACCUAUUUUCUUAAUAAAUUACCCAGUCUCAGGUAGUUCCUUAUAGCAAUGUGAGAACAGACUAAUAUAGCCGGGCUCCACCCACUGGCUCUGCUGCAGGGCCUGAGUAAACUACUGUCCUCCAGGGACUGGUAACACCAGGGACAAUAAGGAGGCUUAAUCAGGAUCUUCUGACUGCAAGUGACAAAAAGCCAGCCUAAACUAGCUUAGCAAAAAAGGGGACACAAUUCCAGGCCCUGACAGUGGGCCCUGGGGCUUAAACUCCAUGGGACCCUCUUUGCCUCUCCUCUCUGUUUCUCUCAUGGGGUGGACACAGCCAGUAGCAGCUCUGAGGACACAUCCCACAGUGCCUUGGCCAGAGUGAGAGAAGGUAUCACCACCCACUGCCAUCCAAAAACCCAAGAUGGACUCCAACAGGGUCAGCCAGGGCCCCUGCCUACCCCUGGCCAACCCCACAGACAGGGAGGUCUGGUCUUUGGCCUGUCCAGGGUCGUAGUGCUGAAGACUUGAUGGGGUAGGGGGAUGCCACGAGAGCCUCCCCUCGAGUGCUCUGGCAUCUUUCUGCAUUCCACUCCAAGGCCUCUGCCCACACCACUGGGCCUGGAGCGCAUGCUCAAGUGUGAGUGAAAGUCAGUGCCCCCACGCCAACCCUCCACCAAUCUGAACUGAUAAUCCCUGGAGAACUACUGCUGUUUUUCAGAGAUCAGUUCUGGAGCCCUCUGUAUAAUUCUCAGUAGACUGGAGCCCCCAUCCCUACAGCAGGGACUCGAAUGAUGUGCCCUAGGAUCUCAUCCCAAAUAAACUGCCUACACCCACAUGCCAGGCUCAGGCACUACUUUCAUGGAAUGCAAGCUAAGAGACACCACAGAGAGGGGACCUGGGGUUUGGAGAACACGCAGCAAUGACACAGGUGCAUACCACUCCAAAAGGAGCAAGCCAGCCUUUGGCAGGAGGGAGGCCUGUCAAAGGCAUGGGCCCCAGGUGUGGGACUGAACUUCAGGGUUAGGAUUCUGACCUGCCAAGACAAUGAUGCCCUCCCAGUGGCCUGGGGACCCUGUAGAAUCUGCUUCCCCUCCCCAGUCUCCCUCCUCACUCCAUUCCAA